This 497-nucleotide ribosomal RNA is filed under the name uncultured bacterium. Its description in RNAcentral is "partial 16S ribosomal RNA". It matches the Rfam family "Bacterial small subunit ribosomal RNA", at positions 28 to 507 of the family's 1533-position model. The record is from RNAcentral.
GAUGAACGCUGGCGGCGUGCCUAAUACAUGCAAGUCGAGCGAACAGAUAAGGAGCUUGCUCCUUUGACGUUAGCGGCGGACGGGUUAGUAACACGUGGAUAACCUACCUAUAAGACUGGGAUAACUUCGGGAAACCGGAGCUAAUACCGGAUAACAUAUUGAACCGCAUGGUUCAAUAGUGAAAGGCGGCUUUGCUGUCACUUAUAGAUGGAUCCGCGCCGUAUUAGCUAGUUGGUAAGGUAACGGCUUACCAAGGCAACGAUACGUAGCCGACCUGAGAGGGUGAUCGGCCACACUGGAACUGAGACACGGUCCAGACUCCUACGGGAGGCAGCAGUAGGGAAUCUUCCGCAAUGGGCGAAAGCCUGACGGAGCAACGCCGCGUGAGUGAUGAAGGUCUUCGGAUCGUAAAACUCUGUUAUCAGGGAAGAACAAAUGUGUAAGUAACUGUGCACAUCUUGACGGUACCUGAUCAGAAAGCCACGGCUAACUACGUG